UACGUAGGUGGCGAGCGUUGUCCGGAUUUACUGGGCGUAAAGAGCGCGCAGGCGGUCGAUUUAGUCGUGUGUGAAAGCCCCCGGCUCAACUGGGGAGGGUCACGCGAUACUGAUCGACUCGAAGGCAGGAGAGGGUAGUGGAAUUCCCGGUGUAGUGGUGAAAUGCGUAGAUAUCGGGAGGAACACCAGUGGCGAAGGCGACUACCUGGCCUGUUCUUGACGCUGAGGCGCGAAAGCUAGGGGGGCAAACGGG
RNAcentral lists this ribosomal RNA (253 nucleotides) under uncultured bacterium. RNAcentral's name for it is "partial 16S ribosomal RNA". It matches the Rfam family "Bacterial small subunit ribosomal RNA", at positions 524 to 776 of the family's 1533-position model. The record is from RNAcentral.